UUAUUCGUGGCUAUGGAUUUAGGGGAAAAAAAUUGUUUUUGAUUCUGAGAAAAAACGCUUGUGUUUCACCCUCAGCUGCCACUAUAUGUACUGCUAAAAUUGAAAGAAAAGAAUUGUUUUCGACUUGUCGUGAAAGAAAUAGAUUGUUUUUCCCCGCAGACGAAAAAAAAGUUUGUCCAGAAAAAAAAUCCAUAGACCACCCCCCUCCAGAAAAUCAAAUGGUUGCUGCCUAAUCAUAUUAAAUCAUAUUUUAAUUAUCAAC
Molecule: long non-coding RNA, 262 nt
Filed under: Mytilus galloprovincialis (Mediterranean mussel)
Lineage: Eukaryota; Metazoa; Mollusca; Bivalvia; Mytilida; Mytilidae
Source: RNAcentral